Molecule: long non-coding RNA, 1095 nt
Filed under: Canis lupus familiaris (dog)
Lineage: Eukaryota; Metazoa; Chordata; Mammalia; Carnivora; Canidae
Description: lncRNA (ENSCAFG00030013711.1)
Source: RNAcentral
CCCAGCGCCGAGCGCGCCCGCCGGGGGCUCGGCUCCGAGUGACGCUGGGGCCCCGCGCCCCGGGCCUAGGCGCCCUCGCCCGGAGCGACCCCGCGGGACCCGCCCCCCGCCCCGUGACCCCGCCCCCUCCGCGGGGCGCCCGAGCGCCUCUUGGGCCUGAGCCUUCCGCGCCCAGCCCUUUCCCUCUGCCCCUUCCCACACCCCGACCCACCCCAGGCCUCGCCUGGAAGCAGAGAAUUUCAGGAAUCUCAGAAACCUCAGAACACAGACAGCUCUACGGAGCGCCUACUGCGCGCCGAGCUCUGCGCAAGGCCCCGCGGGGACUUGGAGGCCCUGGCGACAGAUGGAGCCUGUGAGUGAGGGUGAAUGAGAAAGAGAAAGCAAACGAGAGAGUUUGCUCCCCUGAAAUCCUGGCCAGCGGUCAUGGCUUUGGCUGCGGAAUUUCUCUGAGGGAGAGUGAUGGAAAGCCCAGAGAUUACCGAGCAUCUGAGAGGAGUCAGACAUGGACAUCGUGCCACACUUUGCACCGUGGAAAACGGCAGAGAAAUCUAUAAGCUUGGCUUUCGGAGAAUAGGUCCCGGAGGUGGGAUAAAGUGGCUCCGUGCACCUGCAGCUCAGCUGGGUGCCUCCGGGGGAAUCGCGCCACCUCAAGCAAGACAAGACCCACUUGCCAGGAGUCUGGGGGCAGAGAGCUGGGGAAGGAGCCCGCCUGGAAUCUCACUUGCUGGGAGUCUGUGGCCUGUAGUGGCUAUGGAUUCUCCGUCAGCAUCUGCAGUCCUCUACCCCAUGUCCGAGGCAGCCUGGAUCUCCCAGUGGGCAAAUCCCACCUCUCAAUGGGUCCAGGCCCACCGCAUCCUUGGGAGGCAUCUGGGUCUCACCGGUCCUGAGCUGCUGUCUUCUGGGACGACCGGGAAUCGGGCCCACUGGCCUGGGUCUUCUGCUAACAGGGCAGCUUCCAGCCCAAGCCUAACAGUUGCCAAUCCUGGGAGCUCUACCAGACACCCUCCUCCUCCUCCUGUCUCUGCUCUCUCCAGCUCCAUCCUGUGUCCCAUUCCCCCCCCUUCCCCACACCCAAGGCUUGGACCUUAUUCUUGA